AUGCACGCUGGCGGCGUGCCUAAUACAUGCAAGUCGAGCGAACAGACGAGGAGCUUGCUCCUCUGACGUUAGCGGCGGACGGGUGAGUAACACCUGGAUAACCUACCUAUAAGACUGGGAUAACUUCGGGAAACCGGAGCUAAUACCGGAUAAUAUAUUGAACCGCAUGGUUCAAUAGUGAAAGACGGUUUUGCUGUCACUUAUAGAUGGAUCCGCGCCGCAUUAGCUAGUUGGUAAGGUAACGGCUUACCAAGGCAACGAUGCGUAGCCGACCUGAGAGGGUGAUCGGCCACACUGGAACUGAGACACGGUCCAGACUCCUACGGGAGGCAGCAGUAGGGAAUCUUCCGCAAUGGGCGAAAGCCUGACGGAGCAACGCCGCGUGAGUGAUGAAGGUCUUCGGAUCGUAAAACUCUGUUAUUAGGGAAGAACAAAUGUGUAAGUAACUAUGCACGUCUUGACGGUACCUAAUCAGAAAGCCACGGCUAACUACGUG
This 496-nucleotide ribosomal RNA is filed under the name uncultured bacterium. Its description in RNAcentral is "partial 16S ribosomal RNA". It matches the Rfam family "Bacterial small subunit ribosomal RNA", at positions 29 to 507 of the family's 1533-position model. The record is from RNAcentral.